This 400-nucleotide ribosomal RNA is filed under the name uncultured bacterium. RNAcentral's name for it is "bacterial SSU rRNA". It matches the Rfam family "Bacterial small subunit ribosomal RNA", at positions 355 to 748 of the family's 1533-position model. The record is from RNAcentral.
UGGGGAAUAUUGGACAAUGGGCGAAAGCCUGAUCCAGCAAUACCGCGUGUGUGAAGAAGGCCUUAGGGUUGUAAAGCACUUUCAAUUGGAAGGAAAACCUCGAAGCUAAUACCUUCGAGUUUGACAUUACCUUUAGAAGAAGCACCGGCUAACUCCGUGCCAGCAGCCGCGGUAAUACGGAGGGUGCAAGCGUUAAUCGGAAUUACUGGGCGUAAAGCGUGCGUAGGCGGUUUACUAAGUCAGAUGUGAAAGCCCUGGGCUUAACCUGGGAACUGCAUUUGAAACUGGUAGACUCGAGUUUAAGAGAGGUAAGUGGAAUUUCAGGUGUAGCGGUGAAAUGCGUAGAGAUCUGAAGGAACACCAGUGGCGAAGGCGACUUACUGGCUUAAAACUGACGCUG